UACGUAGGGCGCAAGCGUUGUCCGGAAUUAUUGGGCGUAAAGAGCUCGUAGGCGGUUUGUUACGUCUGCUGUGAAAACCUAGGGCUUAACCCUGGGCCUGCAGUGGAUACGGGCAGACUAGAGGUAGGUAGGGGAGAAUGGAAUUCCCGGUGUAGCGGUGAAAUGCGCAGAUAUCGGGAGGAACACCGGUGGCGAAGGCGGUUCUCUGGGCCUUACCUGACACUGAGGAGCGAAAGCGUGGGGAGCGAACAGG
This 253-nucleotide ribosomal RNA is filed under the name uncultured bacterium. Its description in RNAcentral is "partial 16S ribosomal RNA". It matches the Rfam family "Bacterial small subunit ribosomal RNA", at positions 524 to 776 of the family's 1533-position model. The record is from RNAcentral.